AUGCCCUACCGUGGCGACUUCGGCGAGGGCGACCCGGUGUUUGCCAUGUACAUCUACCUCCCCUACGACCGCGACGGCCUGCCCUCGCUCGCGCGAACGCUCAGCGCUAACCCCGACGCGCUCCUGCACAGGUCGGUCAUGCCAGAGCAGCCCGUCCCGUUGGGCGAGCUCAAGAUCCCCAAGUUCGAGGUGUCGGUGAGGGUGGAGGCGUCGCGGAUGCUGCGUAACCUGGGGCUGGAGCUGCCGUUCCGUCGCUCCGGCGACUCGUUCUCGGAGAUGCUGAGCCCGCCGGCGCCUCCGGUGGCCGUCUCGUCCGUGGUCCACGAGUGCGUCGUCAAAGUCGAUGAGUGCGGGACCGUGGCCACCGCAGGCACCGUGGCGAUGUCGGCGGGGUUUGGCAUGGUACGUGAUCGCCCUGUGGACUUCGUGGCAGAUCACCCCUUCGCCUUCUUCCUCAUGGAGGAUAUAUAUCAGUGGCGUGGUGGUAUUCGCAGGCCAUGUCGUCAACCCUUUGGGCCACUGAUGGAUGUAUUACCAGCUCUGCUCCUACUAGCGCCAUUCACAAACAGUAAAUCAUCUAGCAAAUUCAGUUUACCCAUCCAUCUAUCUAUGCAAUAUCCAUCAAUCCAUCUAACAAACAGCAGCCGGCGGCAGGGAGGCAGAGGAAACAGAUCGAGACAAGGGAAGAGAGGAGACAGAGAGAGCUCACCGGCAUCGCCUCUCUCAUGGACUUGCUCCGGCAUGUCCAAGGCGUACGUCUAG
This 762-nucleotide ribosomal RNA is filed under the name Triticum aestivum (bread wheat). RNAcentral's name for it is "partial small subunit ribosomal RNA". Lineage: Eukaryota; Viridiplantae; Streptophyta; Magnoliopsida; Poales; Poaceae. The record is from RNAcentral.